GUAACAGGAUGUGCUUGCACAUCGCUGACGAGUGGCGGACGGGUGAGUAAUGCUUGGGAACUUGCCUUUGCGAGGGGGAUAACAGUUGGAAACGACUGCUAAUACCGCAUAAUGUUUUCGAACCAAACGGGGCUUCGGCUCCGGCGCAAAGAGAGGCCCAAGUGAGAUUAGCUAGUUGGUAAGGUAACGGCUUACCAAGGCGACGAUCUCUAGCUGUUCUGAGAGGAAGAUCAGCCACACUGGGACUGAGACACGGCCCAGACUCCUACGGGAGGCAGCAGUGGGGAAUAUUGCACAAUGGGGGAAACCCUGAUGCAGCCAUGCCGCGUGUGUGAAGAAGGCCUUCGGGUUGUAAAGCACUUUCAGUUGUGAGGAAAAGUUAGUAGUUAAUACCUGCUAGCCGUGACGUUAGCAACAGAAGAAGCACCGGCUAACUCCGUGCCAGCAGCCGCGGUAAUACGGAGGGUGCGAGCGUUAAUCGGAAUUACUGGGCGUAAAGCGCACGCAGGCGGUUUGUUAAGCUAGAUGUGAAAGCCCCGGGCUCAACCUGGGAUGGUCAUUUAGAACUGGCAGACUAGAGUCUUGGAGAGGGGAGUGGAAUUCCAGGUGUAGCGGUGAAAUGCGUAGAUAUCUGGAGGAACAUCAGUGGCGAAGGCGACUCCCUGGCCAAAGACUGACGCUCAUGUGCGAAAGUGUGGGUAGCGAACAGGAUUAGAUACCCUGGUAGUCCACACCCGUAAACGCUGUCUACUAGCUGUGUGUGCCUUUAAGGCGUG
RNAcentral lists this ribosomal RNA (776 nucleotides) under uncultured Alteromonas sp. RNAcentral's name for it is "bacterial SSU rRNA". It matches the Rfam family "Bacterial small subunit ribosomal RNA", at positions 69 to 841 of the family's 1533-position model. Lineage: Bacteria; Pseudomonadati; Pseudomonadota; Gammaproteobacteria; Alteromonadales; Alteromonadaceae. The record is from RNAcentral.